This 252-nucleotide ribosomal RNA is filed under the name uncultured bacterium. RNAcentral's name for it is "partial 16S ribosomal RNA". It matches the Rfam family "Bacterial small subunit ribosomal RNA", at positions 524 to 776 of the family's 1533-position model. The record is from RNAcentral.
UACAGAGGUCCCAAGCGUUGUUCGGAUUCACUGGGCGUAAAGGGUGCGUAGGUGGCCAGGUAAGUUCGGUGUGAAAGCUCGGAGCUUAACUCCGAAAUGUCAUUGAAUACUAUCUGGCUAGAGGUCGGAGGGGAGACUGGAAUUCUCGGUGUAGCAGUGAAAUGCGUAGAUAUCGAGAGGAACACCAGUGGCGAAGGCGAGUCUCUGGACGACUCCUGACGCUCAUGCACGAAAGCGUGGGGAGCAAACAGG